RNAcentral lists this ribosomal RNA (755 nucleotides) under uncultured bacterium. Its description in RNAcentral is "bacterial SSU rRNA". It matches the Rfam family "Bacterial small subunit ribosomal RNA", at positions 28 to 778 of the family's 1533-position model. The record is from RNAcentral.
AUUGAACGCUGGCGGCAUGCCUUACACAUGCAAGUCGAACGGCAGCACGGGGGCAACCCUGGUGGCGAGUGGCGAACGGGUGGGUAAUGCAUCGGAACGUGCCCAGUAGUGGGGGAUAACCAGUCGAAAGACUGGCUAAUACCGCAUACGACCUACGGGUGAAAGCGGGGGACCGUAAGGCCUCGCGCUAUUGGAGCGGCCGAUGUCUGAUUAGCUAGUUGGCGGGGUAAGAGCCCACCAAGGCGACGAUCAGUAGCUGGUCUGAGAGGACGACCAGCCACACUGGGACUGAGACACGGCCCAGACUCCUACGGGAGGCAGCAGUGGGGAAUUUUGGACAAUGGGCGAAAGCCUGAUCCAGCCAUGCCGCGUGCGGGAAGAAGGCCUUCGGGUUGUAAACCGCUUUUGGCAGGAACGAAACGGCGCGAGCCAAUACCUCGCGCUAAUGACGGUACCUGCAGAAUAAGCACCGGCUAACUACGUGCCAGCAGCCGCGGUAAUACGUAGGGUGCAAGCGUUAAUCGGAAUUACUGGGCGUAAAGCGUACGCAGGCGGCUUUGCAAGACAGGUGUGAAAUCCCCGGGCCUAACCUGGGAACUGCAUUUGUGACUGCAUCGCUAGAGUCUGUCAGAGGGGGGUGGAAUUCCACGUGUAGCAGUGAAAUGCGUAGAGAUGUGGAAGAACACCGAUGGCGAAGGCAGCCCCCUGGGAUGAGACUGACGCUCAUGUACGAAAGCGUGGGGAGCAAACAGGAU